Neodiprion virginianus is the source of this 1564-nucleotide long non-coding RNA. RefSeq lists it as uncharacterized. The transcript is spliced from 2 exons. The record is from RefSeq and is a predicted model, not a curated record. Lineage: Eukaryota; Metazoa; Arthropoda; Insecta; Hymenoptera; Diprionidae.
UUGUCACUCUUUGCUGUGCUCGACAUCGUCACUGAACAGACAUCGUGCCGUGGUUUCGUGUAAAUAUAAUCGUGUAUGUCUGACUUUCCAUUACAGGUGUAGCAAAAAAUAGAGUUCGAUACACGCGCGAAAGUUGGCAAUGCCUAUCUCGCGUGAAUGCGCCACACUCGCCCUUCAACUCGUCUACGGGUUCGUGCUGCGCCUUCACGCUUGUGCGGGCAUUGCCACCUUCGCGCACUAGUAUCGAAAAACAUUAUUUCCCACAUGUUUAUUUGGACCGACUUACGGUUACCGAACGUAAAAAAAUCGAUUAAAGGAUUACGAAACAAAAACAACUGAAGACCGAAAGUAGAAACAACAUACGUAAGAUUGAAUUAUUAAAAAAGGCAGUAAAUUGAAAGUGUAGGAAGAAAUGCUUAACGCAUCAAGCUAUCCCGCAGUCGACGAACAAAGAGGCUGCGAGGGUCGCGGAGAGAAGCUUGAAGCCUCGGCUUAAACUUCCCCACCGUCAGAGUGGCCCCCAGAGAUUUGGCAAUGCCGUUCGUUAGCCUCACGGACGGUUGCGCUGUUGCCAAGUCGCCGAAGUAGAGGAGGGGCCAUGGCUACGGGAAGGCACUCGCAUCUAUUAUGGUACAUCUCUCUUUAAACAGCACUUUUGUACUUCCCCUUUCCAAGACUACAUUUCGUCUUUUUUUUUCUUUUUUUUUCUCUUUUACCUGUAAUACUCAAUGAACUUUCAAUAAUUUUCUAUUCCGAAGUCGACGUAUUUCGGGUAAAUACUUAAAAGCCUCUCAGAAGACCAUGUAUAUGUUUAUCAUUAAGUAACGGGUGUUUACGAGUAAUCGACCGAUAAAGAUUUUGAUGAACUUGUUGAGGAGAAAAUAACAAAAUUUUAAAACCCACGUAUUCUUCGCGAGAUAUUCCAAAUGACGAGAAAGAUUGAUCUAUGGACGUGUUUCUAUAUGAAUAAUUGUACCUGAUCCACAGUAUAACAGACCCUAGCGUGGGCGCCAUCGUUAUUAGAAAUCCAUCUGACGCCUCCGCACUAAACGGGACAUGAGGGGUCAGGUAAAUCGACACUUAUAUCUACACCUACACGUUACAUGUAUACUUGAUAAAGCCUUUCUGCUGUAGAAUGAAAAGAACCGGAAAAGCAGGCUCGCAUAACCUCGGCAGUAUAUUCAAUGUUCUCUAAUGAUUUUUUUUUUACGCGAUAUAAUUUCAUAAAAAUAUGGAUUGUUCAGCGACUCGUUUUUAGCGAGGUAUCCGCACACCUCUACGCAUACGUGCGUAAUAAUGCCUACUAAUAAAAGUCAGAAUACACCGAAGGCCAGUGUCGUCUCACGGAAGAAACGAUGCGAACAUAUAAAGCAGUUGUUUCAGUGACGUCUAUUGUAUGUAUAACAUAGCUAGAUAAAAUAUUUCGACCUACACAUAUACCAGGUUGUUGAAACUAACAAUUUGAAAAUGUUCUUGACACAAUCAACACUAUGCAGGUUUAUAACAGUAAUAUAUAAGCAAGGCCACAAGUGAGAAGGAGAAAUAAACAGUAAUGAGACAUUAA